GAGCUCACUCUGACAGCAUGUAUAGUAAAAUUAGAAUGAUACAGAGUAGAUAACUGUGACCCCUGGGCAAGGAUGACGCACACAAAAUAUCUUUGUGAUGUAGAUAUUU
This is a small nuclear RNA of Lutra lutra (Eurasian river otter), 109 nucleotides long. NCBI's taxonomy places the organism in Eukaryota, Metazoa, Chordata, Mammalia, Carnivora, Mustelidae. The record is from RefSeq and is a predicted model, not a curated record.